UACGUAGGCAGCGAGCGUUGUUCGGAAUUAUUGGGCGUAAAGAGUGUGUAGGCGGUGCUCCAAGUCUGUUGUGAAAUCUCCCGGCUUAACUGGGAGGGUGCGGCGGAAACUGGGGUGCUAGAGGAUGGGAGAGGUAAGCGGAAUUCCUGGUGUAGCGGUGAAAUGCGUAGAUAUCAGAAGGAACAUCAGUGGCGAAAGCGGCUUCCUGGUCCAGCACCGACGUUCAGGCACGAAAGCGUGGGGAGCAAACAGG
This 253-nucleotide ribosomal RNA is filed under the name uncultured prokaryote. RNAcentral's name for it is "partial 16S ribosomal RNA". It matches the Rfam family "Bacterial small subunit ribosomal RNA", at positions 524 to 776 of the family's 1533-position model. The record is from RNAcentral.